AGUUAAGUGGCAGAUAAAUGCAACAAGUUUAAGCCUUGUCUAUAGAAUACAAUUCUCUUAGCUU
Molecule: transfer RNA, 64 nt
Filed under: Arcuatula senhousia (Asian date mussel)
Lineage: Eukaryota; Metazoa; Mollusca; Bivalvia; Mytilida; Mytilidae
Description: tRNA-Leu
Source: RNAcentral